Molecule: ribosomal RNA, 529 nt
Filed under: uncultured bacterium
Lineage: Bacteria
Description: bacterial SSU rRNA
Rfam family: Bacterial small subunit ribosomal RNA
Source: RNAcentral
AGUGAAUAGAUACCCAGGUAGUCCACGCCGUAAACGAUGAUAACUAGCUGUCGGGGCCCAUAGGGUUUCGGUGGCGCAGCUAAACGCAUUAAGUUAUCCGCCUGGGGAGUACGGCCGCAAGGUUAAAACUCAAAGAAAUUGACGGGGGCCUGCACAAGCGGUGGAGCAUGUGGUUUAAAUUCGAAGCAACGCGCAGAACCUUACCAGCGUUUGACAUCCUCAUCGCGGGUUCCAGAGAUGGAUCCCUUCAGUUCGGCUGGAUGAGUGACAGGUGCUGCAUGGCUGUCGUCAGCUCGUGUCGUGAGAUGUUGGGUUAAGUCCCGCAACGAGCGCAACCCUCGUCCUUAGUUGCCAUCAUUUAGUUGGGCACUCUAAGGAAACCGCCGGUGAUAAGCCGGAGAACGGUGGGGAUGACGUCAAGUCCUCAUGGCCCUUACGCGCUGGGCUACACACGUGCUACAAUGGCGUGACAGUGGGCAGCAAACCCCGCGAGGGUUNAGCUAAUCUCCAAAAGCCGUCUCAGUUCGGA